This 449-nucleotide ribosomal RNA is filed under the name uncultured bacterium. RNAcentral describes it as "partial 16S ribosomal RNA". It matches the Rfam family "Bacterial small subunit ribosomal RNA", at positions 29 to 523 of the family's 1533-position model. The record is from RNAcentral.
AGUGAACGCUGGCGGCAGGCCUAACACAUGCAAGUCGAACGAAGUCUUCGGACUUAGUGGCGGACGGGUGAGUAACACGUGGGAACGUGCCCUUUGGUUCGGAACAACUCAGGGAAACUUGAGCUAAUACCGAAUGUGCCCUUCGGGGGAAAGAUUUAUCGCCAUUGGAGCGGCCCGCGUCUGAUUAGCUAGUUGGUGGGGUAAUGGCCUACCAAGGCGACGAUCAGUAGCUGGUCUGAGAGGAUGAUCAGCCACAUUGGGACUGAGACACGGCCCAAACUCCUACGGGAGGCAGCAGUGGGGAAUCUUGCGCAAUGGGCGAAAGCCUGACGCAGCCAUGCCGCGUGAAUGAUGAAGGUCUUAGGAUUGUAAAAUUCUUUCACCGGGGACGAUAAUGACGGUACCCGGAGAAGAAGCCCCGGCUAACUUCGUGCCAGCCGCCGCCGUAA